UACGAGAGGCCCAAACGUUAUUCGGAUUUACUGGGCUUAAAGAGUUCGUAGGCGGCGCAGACAGUGGGGUGUGAAAGCCCUCGGCUCAACCGAGGAAUUGCGCUCCAUACUAUUGCGCUUGAGGAACCUAGAGGUGAGCAGAACUGAUGGUGGAGCGGUGAAAUGCGUUGAUAUCAUCAGGAAUACCGGAGGCGAAGGCGGCUCACUGGGGGUUUUCUGACGCUGAGGAACGAAAGCCAGGGGAGCGAACGGG
Molecule: ribosomal RNA, 253 nt
Filed under: uncultured bacterium
Lineage: Bacteria
Description: partial 16S ribosomal RNA
Rfam family: Bacterial small subunit ribosomal RNA
Source: RNAcentral